GGAGCACGUGAAAUUCCGUGUGAAUCCGCGAGGACCACCUCGUAAGGCUAAAUAUUCCUGAAUGACCGAUAGCGUAAUAGUACCGCGAGGGAAAGGUGAAAAGAACCCCGGGAGGGGAGUGAAAUAGAACAUGAAACCAUAAGCUUACAAGCAGUAGGAGGACGAUUUAACGUUUGACUACGUUCCUGUUGAAGAAUGCGCCGGCGACUUAUAGGUAAUGGCUUGGUUAAAGUAGCGAAUACUGGAGCCCUAGCGAAAGCGAGUCUGAGAAGGGCGUUUGUCAUUAUUUAUAGACCCGAACCCGGAUGAUCUAACCAUGGCCAGGAUGAAGCUUAGGUGAUACUAAGUGGAGGUCCGAACCGACUGAUGUUGAAAAAUCAGCGGAUGAGUUGUGGUUAGGGGUGAAAUGCCAAUCGAAUCCGGAGCUAGCUGGUUCUCCCCGAAAUGUGUUUAGGCGCAGCGGUUAAUGUUAUAGUUUAGGGGUAAAGCACUGUUUCGGUGCGGGCUGGUAAAACGGUACCAAAUCGAGGCAAACUAAGAAUACUAAAUGAAUAAUUAACCAGUAAGACUAUGGGGGAUAAGCUCCAUUGUCAAGAGGGAAACAGCCCAGACCACCAGCUAAGGCCCCUAAAUAAUUGCUAAGUGAUAAAGGAGGUGGGAAUGCAUAGACAACCAGGAGGUUUGCUUAGAAGCAGCAAUCCUUUAAAGAGUGCGUAAUAGCUCACUGGUCGAGUAGGCCUGCGCCGAAAAUGAAUGGGGCUAAGUAAUUUGCCGAAGCUGUGGGAUAUUUAUAAUAUCGGUAGGGGAGCGUUCUGUUCUAGGUUGAAGCAUUAACGUAAGUAGAUGUGGACGAAGCAGAAGUGAGAAUGUCGGCUUGAGUAGCGAAAACAUUGGUGAGAAUCCAAUGCCCCGAAAACCUAAGGUUUCCUUCGGAAGGCUCGUCCGCGGAGGGUAAGUCAGGACCUAAGGCGAGGCCGAGAGGCGUAGUCGAUGGACAACGGGUUGAUAUUCCCGUACCCGCGAAGAACCGCAAGAGCUAAACCAGUAAUGCUAAGAGUCCGAAUUUUCUUUCUGAUCCCUUCGGGGUGAGGAUUGAGAGCUAGCACUCGACCCUAUGCUGGCGCGGCUAGCGUAUUAACAGGUGUGACGCAGGAAGGUAGCUGAGCCGGGCGAUGGUUGUCCCGGUGUAAGGAUGUAGGGCGAGGAAUAGGCAAAUCCGUUCCUCACGAAGCCUGAGAUCCGACGCGUACCCCUCACGGGGGAAAUCAGUGAUCCUAUGCUGCCGAGAAAAGCAUCGACGCGAGGUUCUAGUGGCCCGUACCCCAAACCGACUCAGGUGGUCAGGUAGAGAAUACUAAGGAGAUCGAGAGA
RNAcentral lists this ribosomal RNA (1371 nucleotides) under Pseudopedinella elastica. RNAcentral's name for it is "partial Bacterial large subunit ribosomal RNA". It matches the Rfam family "Bacterial large subunit ribosomal RNA", at positions 419 to 1697 of the family's 2925-position model. The record is from RNAcentral. Lineage: Eukaryota; Dictyochophyceae; Pedinellales.